UGUGUAGCGGUCAUAGAAUCCCUUGGCACUCUGGCAAAAGUCAGAAAUUUUCAGACAUGGAUGUCUGAAAAAGGGGGAGCUGAGCCAUGGAUGGCGAAUCUUCCCCGGUUUCGUCCGUAUUUCAUAGUAAAUCCACAGUGUGCUUAGGGAAUCUCAGACCGCUACACC
Non-coding RNA from Clostridiales bacterium 44_9, 168 nucleotides. The record is from Rfam. NCBI's taxonomy places the organism in Bacteria, Bacillati, Bacillota, Clostridia, Eubacteriales.